CUAANGGGGAAACCUGAUGGAGCGACGCCGCGUGGAGGAUAAGGUCUUCGGAUUGUAAACUCCUGUCAUGCGAGAGCAAGAUUGGUCAUUUAAUAGGUGAUUAAUUUGAUAGUAUCGCAAGAGGAAGAGACGGCUAACUCUGUGCCAGCAGCCGCGGUAAUACAGAGGUCUCAAGCGUUGUUCGGAAUCACUGGGCGUAAAGGGUGCGUAGGUGGCGUGGUAAGUCAGAUGUGAAAGCCCAGGGCUCAACCCUGGAAUUGCAUCCGAUACUGCCGUGCUAGAGAACUGAAGGGGAGUCUGGAAUUCUCGGUGUAGCAGUGAAAUGCGUAGAUAUCGAGAGGAACACCAAUGGCGAAGGCAAGACUCUGGGCAGUUUCUGACACUGAGGCACGAAGGCCAGGGUAGCGAACGGGAUUAGAUACCCCGGUAGUCCUGGCAGUAAACGGUGCACGUUUGGUGUGGGAGGAUUCGACCCCUUCCGUGCCGGAGCUAACGCGUUAAGCGUGCCGCCUGGGAAGUACGGUCGCAAGAUUAAAACUCAAAGAAAUUGACGGGGACCCGCACAAGCGGUGGAGUAUGUGGCUUAAUUCGAUGCAACGCGAAGAACCUUACCUGGUCUUGACAUGCAUCCUGUCGUUAGUGAAAGCUAGCUAGUGUAGCAAUACACGGUUUGCACAGGUGCUGCAUGGCUGUCGUCAGCUCGUGUCGUGAGAUGUUGGGUUAAGUCCCGCAACGAGCGCAACCCCUGUGAUUUGUUGCCAUCGGGUAAUGCCGGGCACUCGAAUCAGACUGCCUCGAUCAACGAGGAGGAAGGUGGGGACGACGUCAAGUCCGUAUGGCCCUUACGACCAGGGCUGCACACGUACUACAAUGCCCAGCACAAUGUGAACCGAAACCGCGAGGUGGAGGAAAUCCUUA
This 918-nucleotide ribosomal RNA is filed under the name uncultured bacterium. RNAcentral's name for it is "bacterial SSU rRNA". It matches the Rfam family "Bacterial small subunit ribosomal RNA", at positions 368 to 1277 of the family's 1533-position model. The record is from RNAcentral.